RNAcentral lists this ribosomal RNA (151 nucleotides) under uncultured eukaryote. RNAcentral's name for it is "partial 18S ribosomal RNA". It matches the Rfam family "Eukaryotic small subunit ribosomal RNA", at positions 1299 to 1458 of the family's 1831-position model. The record is from RNAcentral.
UGGUGGAGUGAUUUGUCUGGUUAAUCCCGAUAACGAACGAGACUCUGUCCUGCUAAAUAGUUCAGUGGCAUCGGUCCUCACGGACUACAGCUACUGCUGACUUCUUAGAGGGAUUCGCGGCAUUUUAGCCGCACGAAAUAGAGCAAUAACA